This 1863-nucleotide ribosomal RNA is filed under the name human gut metagenome. RNAcentral describes it as "bacterial LSU rRNA". The stretch from base 343 to 1863 matches the Rfam family "Bacterial large subunit ribosomal RNA", at positions 1 to 1980 of the family's 2925-position model. The record is from RNAcentral.
GCUCACCCGAAUCAGCGAUGGCAAAGUACUUGCCAAUCAAUCUUUCUCUGAUGUAGAUUUAUGGAGAAAAGGAGCAACGAACAUCCGUAAUAAAUUUGGUAUCUAUCGCAGUCUGGGGCGGAAGAUGCAGAGUGCAUCCGAUCGCCCGGACAAUGGCCUUAAAGAUGAAAGUCUACAAUUGGCAGAUUUUAAAGUCUAUGAAGCACAUACUAAUCCGAAUCCACAACCUCAUGAUUAAUUUGUCGCUUUGACAUUUUGUAUUUUCAAUCAUUGUACGUUUGUAUUCUUUCGCCCUUUCCUGCCAUAAGUUUAAAAAGAAUGCACGGAAACAGGAUUAGAUAAAUUCAAAAAGAAAGUAGAAAAGGGUAAUGCUUACAGGUUUUUCUUGUAAGUAUUAUCCUUUUCUGUCUUUCGGUUACAAUUUGCACCUCCAAGCCUAAAUACUACCUGAUGACCGAUAGCGAAAAGUACUGUGAAGGAAAGGUGAAAAGCACCCCGGGAGGGGAGUGAAAUAGAACCUGAAACCCUGUGCUUACAAGCACUUAGAGCACGUCAAAGUGUGAUAAGGUACCUAUUGUAGAAUGGUCCGGCGAGUUAUUGUAUGCAGCGAGGUUAAGUAGUUCAGCUACGGAGCCGAAGUGAGAGCGAGUGUUAACAGCACGUUCAGUUGCAUGCAAUAGACCCGAAACCGGGUGACCUAUCCAUGUCCAGGAUGAAGUGAGGGUAAAACCUCAUGGAGGUCCGAACCCACUCCCGUUGAAAUGGUAGGGGAUGAGGUGUGGAUAGCGGAGAAAUUCCAAUCGAACCCGGAUAUAGCUGGUUCUCCCCGAAAUAGUUUUAGGACUAGCCUCGUGAUUAAGAUUAUCGGAGGUAAAGCACUGAAUGGCCUAGGGGUCGAGAGAUUACCGAAGCCUAUCAAACUCUGAAUGCCGAAUAAUCAUGCACGGGAGUCAGACUGUGUGAGAUAAGUUUCAUAGUCGAAAGGGAAACAGCCCAGACCUACAGCUAAGGUCCCAAAGUACGUUUAAGUGGAAAACGAUGUGAAAUUGCGUAGACAACCAGGAUGUUGGCUUAGAAGCAGCCAUACAUUAAAAGAGUGCGUAAUAGCUCACUGGUCGAGUGACUUUGCGCGGAAAAUUUAACGGGGCUAAAACGUACACCGAAGCUUAGGCUUGUCACAAUGUGACAGGGGUAGGGGAGCGUUGAAUGAGGGGUGAAGUCGUAGCGAAAGCGACGGUGGACUUCAUUCAAGUGAGAAUGCCGGAAUGAGUAGCGAGAAUUAUGUGAGAAUCAUAAUGGCCGAAAGCCUAAGGUUUUUGGAGGAAGGUUCGUCCGCUCCAAGUAAGUCGGAAGCUAAGGUGAGGCUGAAAAGCGUAGCCGAUGCACAAACGGUUGAAAUUCCGUUACCACAGAAAGAUUUAAACUAAGGGACACUUUUGAAGAGCUGAUGCCGGGUGUUGGUUACCCCGGUCGUAAGGGAACGAAAUCAAGUAGUGAAGUCAGCGUGGAUGAAGGCGAGAAAAGCUUAGUGUAUAUCUUAUGUGUCCGUACCGCAAACCGACACAGGUAGGUAGGAAGAGAAUUCUAAGGCCAACGGGAGAAGGGUAGUUAAGGAACUCGGCAAAAUGUCCCCGUAACUUCGGAAUAAGGGGAGGUUUCUACGGAAACCCGCAGAGAAUAGUCCCAGGCAACUGUUUAUCAAAAACACAGCUCUAUGCUAAAUCGAAAGAUGACGUAUAUGGGGUGACGCCUGCCCGGUGCCGGAAGGUUAAGAGGAGGAGUGAGAGCCCUGAAUCGAAGCCCCGGUAAACGGCGGCCGUAACUAUAACGGUCCUAAGGUAGCGAAAUUCCUUGUCAGGUAAG